AGUCUGCAACUCGACUACAUGAAGCUGGAAUCGCUAGUAAUCGCGGAUCAGAAUGCCGCGGUGAAUACGUUCCCGGGUCUUGUACACACCGCCCGUCACACCAUGGGAGUCGAUAACGCCCGAAGUCAGUGACCCAACCUGUAAGGAGGGGGCUGCCGAAGGCGGGAUUGAUAACUGGGGUGAAGUCGUAACAAGGUAAC
RNAcentral lists this ribosomal RNA (200 nucleotides) under uncultured bacterium. RNAcentral's name for it is "partial 16S ribosomal RNA". It matches the Rfam family "Bacterial small subunit ribosomal RNA", at positions 1302 to 1500 of the family's 1533-position model. The record is from RNAcentral.